ACGACAUAAAACAGGAAUGCAGGAAAACCGUUUUUUAAGACACUUUGUAUAAAGCAAUAAUUAUUCCCAUCUGUAAGAAGACUUUAAUUCUCCCAGUCAAUUAUUAUCGAGAUUUCCAGACCGCAUUGCCAUAAUUAGAGUCCACGAGCCCGCAACGCCAACUGCGGACCAACUGUGGUCGAUUUGUUAUUUUGGGAUAAUAACGAGCAUGGAAUAUACUUUCUCCUUAUUAAAUAACAGGUUCC
Molecule: non-coding RNA, 245 nt
Organism: Pelobates cultripes (western spadefoot toad)
Lineage: Eukaryota; Metazoa; Chordata; Amphibia; Anura; Pelobatidae
Source: the annotation of a GenBank genome assembly